CCUACGGGAGGCAGCAGUGAGGAAUAUUGGUCAAUGGGCGCGAGCCUGAACCAGCCAAGUAGCGUGAAGGAUGACUGCCCUACGGGUUGUAAACUUCUUUUAUCAAGGAAUAAAGUGAGGCACGUGUGCCUUUUUGUAUGUACUUUAUGAUUAAGGAUCGGCUAACUCCGUGCCAGCAGCCGCGGUAAUACGGAGGAUCCGAGCGUUUUCCGGAUUUAUUGGGUUGAAAGGGAGCUUAGAUGGGUUGUUAAGUCAGUUGUGAAAGUUUGCGGCUCACGGGUAAAAUUGCAAUUGAUACUGGCAGUCUUGAGUACAGUUGAGGUAGGCGGAAUGCGUGGUGUAGCGGUGAAAUGCUUAGAUAUCACGAAGAACUCCGAUUGCGAAGGCAGCUUACGAAACUGCCACUGACAUUGAUGCACGAAAGUGUGGGUAUCAAACAGGAUUAGAGACCCGAGUAGUC
RNAcentral lists this ribosomal RNA (460 nucleotides) under uncultured bacterium. Its description in RNAcentral is "partial 16S ribosomal RNA". It matches the Rfam family "Bacterial small subunit ribosomal RNA", at positions 338 to 795 of the family's 1533-position model. The record is from RNAcentral.